RNAcentral lists this ribosomal RNA (517 nucleotides) under uncultured bacterium. RNAcentral describes it as "bacterial SSU rRNA". It matches the Rfam family "Bacterial small subunit ribosomal RNA", at positions 992 to 1509 of the family's 1533-position model. The record is from RNAcentral.
AGGACUUAGCAGAGAUGCUUUGGUGCCUUCGGGAACUCUGAGACAGGUGCUGCAUGGCUGUCGUCAGCUCGUGUUGUGAAAUGUUGGGUUAAGUCCCGCAACGAGCGCAACCCUUAUCCUUUGUUGCCAGCGGUCCGGCCGGGAACUCAAAGGAGACUGCCAGUGAUAAACUGGAGGAAGGUGGGGAUGACGUCAAGUCAUCAUGGCCCUUACGAGUAGGGCUACACACGUGCUACAAUGGCGCAUACAAAGAGAAGCGACCUCGCGAGAGCAAGCGGACCUCAUAAAGUGCGUCGUAGUCCGGAUUGGAGUCUGCAACUCGACUCCAUGAAGUCGGAAUCGCUAGUAAUCGUGGAUCAGAAUGCCACGGUGAAUACGUUCCCGGGCCUUGUACACACCGCCCGUCACACCAUGGGAGUGGGUUGCAAAAGAAGUAGGUAGCUUAACCUUCGGGAGGGCGCUCACCACUUUGUGAUUCAUGACUGGGGUGAAGUCGUAACAAGGUAGGCGUAGUGCU